GACGAACGCUGGCGGCGUGCCUAAUACAUGCAAGUAGAACGCUGAAGAGAGGAGCUUGCUCUUCUUGGAUGAGUUGNNNACGGGUGAGUAACGCGUAGGUAACCUGCCUGGUAGCGGGGGAUAACUAUUGGAAACGAUAGCUAAUACCGCAUAAGAGUAGAUGUUGCAUGACAUUUGCUUAAAAGGUGCAAAUGCAUCACUACCAGAUGGACCUGCGUUGUAUUAGCUAGUUGGUGAGGUAACGGCUCACCAAGGCAACGAUACAUAGCCGACCUGAGAGGGUGAUCGGCCACACUGGGACUGAGACACGGCCCAGACUCCUACGGGAGGCAGCAGUAGGGAAUCUUCGGCAAUGGACGGAAGUCUGACCGAGCAACGCCGCGUGAGUGAAGAAGGUUUUCGGAUCGUAAAGCUCUGUUGUAAGAGAAGAACGAGUGUGAGAGUGGAAAGUUCACACUGUGACGGUAUCUUACCAGAAAGGGACGGCUAACUACGUGCCAGCAGCCGCGGUAAUACGUAGGUCCCGAGCGUUGUCCGGAUUUAUUGGGCGUAAAGCGAGCGCAGGCGGUUAGAUAAGUCUGAAGUUAAAGGCUGUGGCUUAACCAUAGUACGCUUUGGAAACUGUUUAACUUGAGUGCAAGAGGGGAGAGUGGAAUUCCAUGUGUAGCGGUGAAAUGCGUAGAUAUAUGGAGGAACACCGGUGGCGAAAGCGGCUCUCUGGCUUGUAACUGACGCUGAGGCUCGAAAGCGUGGGGAGCAAACAGG
Molecule: ribosomal RNA, 765 nt
Filed under: uncultured Streptococcus sp.
Lineage: Bacteria; Bacillati; Bacillota; Bacilli; Lactobacillales; Streptococcaceae
Description: bacterial SSU rRNA
Rfam family: Bacterial small subunit ribosomal RNA
Source: RNAcentral